AACGAACGCUGGCGGCAGGCUUAACACAUGCAAGUCGAACGCCCCGCAAGGGGAGUGGCAGACGGGUGAGUAACGCGUGGGAAUCUACCCUGAACUGCGGGAUAGCUCCGGGAAACUGGAAUUAAUACCGCAUGUGCCCUGAGGGGCAAAGAUUUAUCGGUUCAGGAUGAGCCCGCGUCCGAUUAGCUAGUUGGUGGGGUAAAGGCCUACCAAGGCGACGAUCGGUAGCUGGUCUAAGAGGAUGAUCAGCCACAUUGGGACUGAGACACGGCCCAAACUCCUACGGGAGGCAGCAGUGGGGAAUAUUGGACCAUGGGCGCAAGCCUGAUCCAGCCAUGCCGCGUGAGUGAUGAAGGCCCUAGGGUUGUAAAGCUCUUUCACCGGGGACGAUAAUGACGGUACCCGGAGAAGAAGCCCCGGCUAACUUCGUG
This 431-nucleotide ribosomal RNA is filed under the name uncultured bacterium. RNAcentral's name for it is "partial 16S ribosomal RNA". It matches the Rfam family "Bacterial small subunit ribosomal RNA", at positions 29 to 507 of the family's 1533-position model. The record is from RNAcentral.